GGGGCUAUAGCUCAGUAGGAUAGAGCAGCGGUUUCCUAAACCGCGCGCCGGAGGUUCGAUUCCUCUUAGUCCCA
RNAcentral lists this transfer RNA (74 nucleotides) under Spirochaetes bacterium GWB1_36_13. RNAcentral's name for it is "tRNA-Arg". It matches the Rfam family "tRNA". From Rfam's summary of the family: Transfer RNA (tRNA) molecules are approximately 80 nucleotides in length. RNAcentral also lists the same sequence under 1 other name. Lineage: Bacteria; Pseudomonadati; Spirochaetota. The record is from RNAcentral.